AUGCCUCGUCAUCUAAUUAGUGACGCGCAUGAAUGGAUUAACGAGAUUCCUACUGUCCCUAUCUACUAUCUAGCGAAACCACAGCCAAGGGAACGGGCUUGGAAUAAUUAGCGGGGAAAGAAGACCCUGUUGAGCUUGACUCUAGUCUGGCAGUGUAAGGAGACAUAAGAGGUGUAGCAUAAGUGGGAGAUAUAUUAGUUUCGGCUAAAUAUAUCAAAAAUGAAAUACCACUACUCUUAUUGUUUCCUUACUUACUUGAUAAAAUGGAACGUGUAUCAUUCACUUAGCCAUUAUACGGAUAUAUUUAUAUAUUUUAUGGUAUUUUGUUUUGAUGCGAGCUUCUUGUUUAAAGUACCAAGAGUUUGUUAUAUACACCAAACAAAUAUCAAUUAAAUUUGCUUUCCAUUAAUAAUGGUUUGUUAAAUAUUAAUUGAAUUUGGUAUAACUAUUAUACUCAGGUAUGAUCCAAUUCAAGGACAUUGCCAGGUGGGGAGUUUGACUGGGGCGGUACAUCUCUCAAAUAAUAACGGAGGUGUCCCAAGGCCAGCUCAGUGCGGACAGAAACCACACAUAGAGCAAAAGGGCAAAUGCUGACUUGAUCUCGGUGUUCAGUACAUACAGAGACAGCAAAAGCUCGGCCUAUCGAUCCUUUUGGUUUAAAGAGUUUUUAACAAGAGGUGUCAGAAAAGUUACCACAGGGAUAACUGGCUUGUGGCG
Molecule: ribosomal RNA, 717 nt
Filed under: Copidapha guttipennis
Lineage: Eukaryota; Metazoa; Arthropoda; Insecta; Diptera; Tabanidae
Description: eukaryotic LSU rRNA
Rfam family: Eukaryotic large subunit ribosomal RNA
Source: RNAcentral